GUGUUUACCUCAACAGCACAUGCAUAAAAAUUGGAACAAUGUAGAGAAUAUUAGCAUGGUCCCUUGGCAAGGAUGACAUGCAAAUUCAUGAAGCAUUCCAUAUUUUU
Molecule: small nuclear RNA, 107 nt
Filed under: Microcebus murinus (gray mouse lemur)
Lineage: Eukaryota; Metazoa; Chordata; Mammalia; Primates; Cheirogaleidae
Source: RNAcentral